This 215-nucleotide unclassified non-coding RNA is filed under the name Podospora bulbillosa. RNAcentral's name for it is "partial internal transcribed spacer region". The stretch from base 1 to 46 matches the Rfam family "Eukaryotic small subunit ribosomal RNA", at positions 1786 to 1831 of the family's 1831-position model. Lineage: Eukaryota; Fungi; Ascomycota; Sordariomycetes; Sordariales; Podosporaceae. The record is from RNAcentral.
AAGUCAUAACAAGGUCUCCGUUGGUGAACCAGCGGAGGGAUCAUUACAGAGUUGCAAAACUCCCCAAACCAUCGUGAACCUUUACCGCUAAACAGUUGCUUUGGCGGGUGGCCCGCGGGAGGAAUCCAAAAAACCAUCGCUUUCAGUACCGGCCCCUCUGAGUUACUGUACUUUUAAUUAAGUCAAAACUUUCAACAACGGAUCUCUUGGUUCUG